RNAcentral lists this ribosomal RNA (509 nucleotides) under uncultured bacterium. Its description in RNAcentral is "partial 16S ribosomal RNA". It matches the Rfam family "Bacterial small subunit ribosomal RNA", at positions 29 to 506 of the family's 1533-position model. The record is from RNAcentral.
ACAAACGCUGGCGGCAUGCCUAACACAUGCAAGUCGAACGGACAGAACAGGGAAGCUUUUCGGAGUGGAACUGGAAAGUUAGUGGCGGAUGGGUGAGUAACGCGUGGACAACCUACCUUGUAAAGGGGAAUAACCUCGAGAAAUCGAAGCUAAUACCCCAUAAUAACCUUGCUUCGCAUGAAGUAAGGAGGAAAGGCGGCCUUAGCGCUGUCGAUACAAGAUGGGUCCGCGUCUGAUUAGCUAGUUGGUGAGGUAAAGGCUCACCAAGGCGACGAUCAGUAGCCGGCCUGGGGGGGUGAACGGCCCAAUGGGGACGGAAACACGGCCCAAACUCCCAGGGGGGGCAGCGGUGGGGAAUCUUCCGCAAUGGGGGAAAGCCUGACGGGGCAAUGCCGGGUGGGGGAAGAAGGCCUUGGGGUUGUAAAACUCUGUCCUUAUGGAAGGGGGAGUGUUGUAGUAACUGACAAUACAAGGACGGUAGAUGGGGAGGAAGCCCCGGCUAACUAUGG